RNAcentral lists this ribosomal RNA (1372 nucleotides) under uncultured bacterium. RNAcentral describes it as "bacterial SSU rRNA". It matches the Rfam family "Bacterial small subunit ribosomal RNA", at positions 28 to 1381 of the family's 1533-position model. The record is from RNAcentral.
GAUGAACGCUGGCGGCGUGCCUAAUACAUGCAAGUCGAGCGAACGGACGAGAAGCUUGCUUCUCUGAUGUUAGCGGCGGACGGGUGAGUAACACGUGGAUAACCUACCUAUAAGACUGGGAUAACUUCGGGAAACCGGAGCUAAUACCGGAUAAUAUUUUGAACCGCAUGGUUCAAAAGUGAAAGACGGUCUUGCUGUCACUUAUAGAUGGAUCCGCGCUGCAUUAGCUAGUUGGUAAGGUAACGGCUUACCAAGGCAACGAUGCAUAGCCGACCUGAGAGGGUGAUCGGCCACACUGGAACUGAGACACGGUCCAGACUCCUACGGGAGGCAGCAGUAGGGAAUCUUCCGCAAUGGGCGAAAGCCUGACGGAGCAACGCCGCGUGAGUGAUGAAGGUCUUCGGAUCGUAAAACUCUGUUAUUAGGGAAGAACAUAUGUGUAAGUAACUGUGCACAUCUUGACGGUACCUAAUCAGAAAGCCACGGCUAACUACGUGCCAGCAGCCGCGGUAAUACGUAGGUGGCAAGCGUUAUCCGGAAUUAUUGGGCGUAAAGCGCGCGUAGGCGGUUUUUUAAGUCUGAUGUGAAAGCCCACGGCUCAACCGUGGAGGGUCAUUGGAAACUGGAAAACUUGAGUGCAGAAGAGGAAAGUGGAAUUCCAUGUGUAGCGGUGAAAUGCGCAGAGAUAUGGAGGAACACCAGUGGCGAAGGCGACUUUCUGGUCAGUAACUGACGCUGAUGUGCGAAAGCGUGGGGAUCAAACAGGAUUAGAUACCCUGGUAGUCCACGCCGUAAACGAUGAGUGCUAAGUGUUAGGGGGUUUCCGCCCCUUAGUGCUGCAGCUAACGCAUUAAGCACUCCGCCUGGGGAGUACGACCGCAAGGUUGAAACUCAAAGGAAUUGACGGGGACCCGCACAAGCGGUGGAGCAUGUGGUUUAAUUCGAAGCAACGCGAAGAACCUUACCAAAUCUUGACAUCCUUUGACAACUCUAGAGAUAGAGCUUUCCCCUUCGGGGGACAAAGUGACAGGUGGUGCAUGGUUGUCGUCAGCUCGUGUCGUGAGAUGUUGGGUUAAGUCCCGCAACGAGCGCAACCCUUAAGCUUAGUUGCCAUCAUUAAGUUGGGCACUCUAAGUUGACUGCCGGUGACAAACCGGAGGAAGGUGGGGAUGACGUCAAAUCAUCAUGCCCCUUAUGAUUUGGGCUACACACGUGCUACAAUGGACAAUACAAAGGGCAGCGAAACCGCGAGGUCAAGCAAAUCCCAUAAAGUUGUUCUCAGUUCGGAUUGUAGUCUGCAACUCGACUACAUGAAGCUGGAAUCGCUAGUAAUCGUAGAUCAGCAUGCUACGGUGGAUACGUUCCCGGGUCU